This 546-nucleotide ribosomal RNA is filed under the name uncultured Basidiomycota. RNAcentral's name for it is "SSU rRNA". It matches the Rfam family "Eukaryotic small subunit ribosomal RNA", at positions 548 to 1098 of the family's 1831-position model. The record is from RNAcentral. Lineage: Eukaryota; Fungi; Basidiomycota.
UUGGAGGGCAAGUCUGGUGCCAGCAGCCGCGGUAAUUCCAGCUCCAAUAGCGUAUAUUAAAGUUGUUGCAGUUAAAAAGCCCGUAGUUGAACUUCAGGCCUGGCUGGGUGGUCUGCCUAACGGCAUUGUACUGCUCGGCUGGGUCUUACCUCUUGGUGAGCCAGCAUGCCCUUCACUGGGUGUGUUGGGGAACCAGGACUUUUACCUUGAGAAAAUUAGAGUGUUCAAAGCAGGCAUUUGCUCGAAUACAUUAGCAUGGAAUAAUAGAAUAGGACGUGCGGUUCUAUUUUGUUGGUUUUUAGAGUCGCCGUAAUGAUUAAUAGGGAUAGUUGGGGGCAUUUGUAUUGCGUUGCUAGAGGUGAAAUUCUUGGAUUUACGCAAGACAAACUACUGCGAAAGCAUUUGCCAAGGAUGUUUUCAUUAAUCAAGGACGAAGGUUAGGGGAUCGAAAACGAUCAGAUACCGUUGUAGUCUUAACAGUAAACUAUGCCGACUAGGGAUCGGACGACCUCACAUUGAUGUGUCGUUCGGCGCCUUACGGGAAAC